Molecule: RNA transcript, 2148 nt
Organism: Photinus pyralis (common eastern firefly)
Lineage: Eukaryota; Metazoa; Arthropoda; Insecta; Coleoptera; Lampyridae
Exons: 4
Source: RefSeq, a predicted model, not a curated record
UUUUGUAUAAGAUUUAUUCUUACAAGUAUAGCAGGAGUUGUAACUUUUGUAGUAGGCACACCAAAUAUUUUAAUUCCUUUGAUUGGUUACUUAAGUUUAAAUAAUUGAGAGUAACCCUGCAAUUGUCCUCUAAAAAUAAAUUUUUCCUUCCGGGGACCAGUGAACAGUUGCAUGAUUUAUAGUUAUAAACAAGAGAUGCGUUUCCCGUUUGGUAAAUGGUAAGUAUAGGUAUUGACAUGGAAUUAUUUAAAUUUUGAUGAUAUCUGCUUAACAAUAUACCCCUGGACCCACUAUGGAAAUGAGCUUCAUAAUUAUUAUUUUAUUUGACUGUGUCAUUAAUUAACACUUUGAACGAAUUGUCACCGGAACCUUUUUAGUUUAUGUGUCUCCGUCAAAUCUUGAUCGUCAUUUGUGUACUAAUUUCAUUGGAGAAGCGCUCAAACCCACUGUCACGAUGUAACGAAAGACGUUUGUUGUAAAUUUGAAACGUAUUUUUGUAUUUGUGACUUGUCGAGGUAGAGAGAACAAGAGUAUUGACUGAAAAAAGUAGGAUAUGUGCCUCGCAUUAAUUUCAAGUGCAUUUAGUACCAUGAAUCGCGUUUGAAAGAUUAAAAACCGCGAUUAGAUACCCGUUAUCACAGUUUCACGAUAUUGUCUGCUAAUGACAGUACACGUAAAUUUUUCAGUAAAGGUUGGGUGACGAUAAGUGCCAAAAAAUGGUGAAAACAAAACCCUUUUACAUCUUGGCCGCAAGCUUCACAUCUGCGGCCGCAGCCAUCCUAUCAAUCAUUUCGUUAAGCACCGAGAAUUGGGUUACGGCAAAAGGUCAAUUCGUGAUCAUCAACGAACCCCCCAGUGAAAUAAGGUAUGGACUGUUUACUGGUCUCCUUAUUCAAUCAUUAGGGGGAUCACAAAGGAUACCACUUUAUGUUACUUGUUUAGUUUCAAAAAACGUUUGUGGAUACUUAUGCGAUUCGGGACAGGAUCGACAGGAUGAUCUAGAGAAGAUGUGGAACAAUGAAAAGGUACCGUUCACGUGUUACUUGCAACAUGCACGUUCAAUCACGACCAGAAAAGAUGCAAAUUCAAGCUUAAUUCCUAAAACAGAGCUAAAAGCUGAUGAUAGUGAACGUGAAUUUAUUAAUGCUGGUUUGUACAUAUCGACAGUAGUCUUUUUGGGAAUUUCCGCCAUUUUUGGGCUAAUAGCGGCAGCUCUUUCGGUUUGGAACACAGCCGGAAAUCCUAUCGAAGUUAUCGUUAGUAUCUACGGAAUUUACAUUUACAACGCUAUUGCAUGCAUCGCUUCGGCUGUGACCUUGGCACUUUGGGGUGCUUUGUUUGGUAUUACAAUUCUACACAAUAUUGGUAUUUUCCAUACUAUACAAGGUGACAUGAAAACGUACGAUACACCAAUGCUUGGAUUCUCCUAUUGGUUAAAUGUACCGAGCUGUAUGUUAUAUGGUGCAAGUAUAUUCAUACUGUAUUUGAGAGACUACUUCAUUCGUCUAGAACCUGAAGUCAAAAUUCACAUCACUGCUAGGGAAAAGGACGUUGGUGAUAUAAUGAUUUUUUAGAAAACGAAACAAUUGUAAAUAUAUAGUUUUUCAAUAAUAUGUAGUAUGCACCUACCUCUUCCCCAAAGGUAUUCGGAAUUUGCCCUGCUAUAGCGAAGUUAUCUUUUAUCAACAAACUGAUAAGAUAACUUUCCUUAUUACUCACAUUAGUAUUUACCUGUUGCAAGAUAAACUUAGAAAACCCAUGUAACCAGGAAUAUACCUAUAGUAUGACAAACAGGAAAGUCGGAUAUAUUUUGUUUGCUACCUUUACCUCAUCAAUAGGGAUACUUUUGUCAAUAGUGUCACUAUGUACAGAAAAUUGGAUACAAAGCAAAGGGGAAUUCACGAUUGGCGAUUUUAGUAACGAGCAAUUGAGUGAAAUAAAGUAUGGGUUAUUUUCUGGGACAUUUAUGCAGAAUAUGGGAGGAACAAAGUACUACACUCUUUACGCCACCUGUUCCCUCUCGACAAACAUUUGCGCGUACCUUUGCACCGGCACUUCAGAGGGACGAAAGGCAGAGCUUGAUAGGCUGUAUCGCAACGAACAAGUUGAGUUUUCCUGUCCCGCUAUUAGUAGGCUGCUUAACCAAGU